This 85-nucleotide transfer RNA is filed under the name Flavobacteriaceae bacterium. Its description in RNAcentral is "tRNA-Leu". It matches the Rfam family "tRNA". Rfam says of the family: Transfer RNA (tRNA) molecules are approximately 80 nucleotides in length. Their secondary structure includes four short double-helical elements and three loops (D, anti-codon, and T loops). Lineage: Bacteria; Pseudomonadati; Bacteroidota; Flavobacteriia; Flavobacteriales; Flavobacteriaceae. The record is from RNAcentral.
GCGGGCGUGGCUGAAUUGGUAGACACGCUAGACUUAGGAUCUAGUGCCGCAAGGUGUGAGAGUUCGAGUCUCUCCGCCCGCACAA